Molecule: long non-coding RNA, 676 nt
Filed under: Homo sapiens (human)
Lineage: Eukaryota; Metazoa; Chordata; Mammalia; Primates; Hominidae
Description: HSALNT0105529
Source: RNAcentral
CACAUUUUUUAAUUGACUGGAAUUUCAAGUUGAUUCAGCCAUCGUCAGAUUUCAUUGAGAACUGGCAUCUACUGCAGGAGUUCAACCAGACGCUGAACAGAACAGCAGUUGACUAACCUGUGAUACUGUUAUCAGAUGAAGACCCCUAGGAAGUCUACAGAUUAGAAUGGAAGGAAGAAUCUGGAUUACAGCUUGGAUCAGAGAAGAAGAGUCUUGGUUUUUAUAUAAUUAAGAGGCAAGAAGUAUGGCAAGCAUGGCAAGGAACUCUUAUUUCCAGUUUAAAGGUAAUACUUGUUCACAGAGAAAAAUGAAAAUAUGAAACAUUGAAAAACAGAAAUAACUCAUCCAAAGACAACUAUUGUUACAUUUUUUGUUUGCUAUACAGCUUAAAUAUACAUAAAUUAUGAACAUAUGUAUAAUUUCUUAUAGCCAAGGGACCCUUGAAUUAUCAGUAUAGUCUACCUGGAUCUCAGUUGUUGCCUUGAAAAUUUUCCUAAAUAUUGAGUCUGCUCUUUUGCUCUCUUUUUUUUUUUUUUGAAAUGAAGUUUUGCUCUUGUUGCCCAGGCUGGAGUGCAGUGGCACAAUCUCAGCUCACUGCAACCUCUGCCUCCUGGGUUCAAGCGAUUCUCAUGCCUCAGCUUCCUAAGUAGCUGGGAUUACAGGCGUGUGCCACCAC